UGGCGACCGGCGCACGGGUGCGUAACGCGUAUGCAACCUACCUGUAACAGGGGGAUAACACUGAGAAAUCGGUACUAAUACCGCAUAACACUAUGAGAGGCAUCUCUUGUGGUUGAAAGUUUCGGCGGUUACAGAUGGGCAUGCGUUGUAUUAGCUGGUUGGUAAGGUAACGGCUUACCAAGGCGACGAUACAGUAGGGGGACUGAGAGGUUAACCCCCCACAUUGGUACUGAGACACGGACCAAACUCCUACGGAAGGCAGCAG
Molecule: ribosomal RNA, 265 nt
Filed under: uncultured bacterium
Lineage: Bacteria
Description: partial 16S ribosomal RNA
Rfam family: Bacterial small subunit ribosomal RNA
Source: RNAcentral